This is a non-coding RNA of Drosophila melanogaster (fruit fly), 1201 nucleotides long. NCBI's taxonomy places the organism in Eukaryota, Metazoa, Arthropoda, Insecta, Diptera, Drosophilidae. The record is from Ensembl.
AGUCCCACUGUGCCACGCUCCAUUUGACUUGUUUGGGGGUACGUUUGUUCCAGAGUCCUGGCCACAUAGUGUUAGUUACAAGACACAUAACACUUUGUUAUGUGCGCUUGACAAAGUUGGGCAGCGAGACAGAGAGACAAACGGCGGGAAAAGUGGAAAAGUGCUUAGUGCCUUAGUUUAAAGCGAAUCGCAUCCUUUUCCCUUUUUCCGGGGAAAACAGAUAAAGCGCACCCAAGUUACGUGGGGUGGAAAAGUGUGGAUGUACCUAGCGAAUUGGGUGCUAAUAUGGUCAAAGCAUUGUGCGGAACACAACUUUCUAAUGCCCAACUGGGCGGAUGGUGGUCUCCCGAUUUUUACGUUGUAUUUUAUUUUUAAAUUUUCAAGAUUUGCACAUGCUGAUAACGCGCUAGCGGAUGGAACAAAUAAAUCUCAGACAAAGGAAGCGGAUAACGGAUAUUUGCGGAAUUUGCAGACACGUGUGUGGAGAGCGGAAGGCAUUUGGAAAUCGUUUGGCGGGGUGGCUUUCCCGCACAUGCCGCAGGAUAUGCCGAUACCCAUAUGCUCGGCAGAGUGGAGGUGGUGAUGGUGGUGGGGGCGAGCUGCGAAAGUGCCAAAAUGCCAGGCGCGACAAGCUGCGACACCUGAAACCUGCAAGGAUCCAAGCACGCAGCGGACAAUCAUCGCCACAUCCCGAACCAGGCACCAGACACCAGGAACCCGGCAGCCCAUGAUCAUGAUGCAUGAUCCAGUCGCUCGCGGUAGACGCACAAAAAGCAUCAUCAGCGGCUCUGGCGAAAUGUCAACUUUAUUAAAAGAAAUUAUAAAUUGGUAUGCCAGUCCCGGAGUCUCAAGUUUCGAGUCCAGAGUCCCAAGUCCCGCGUCGAGAGUCCCAGUGACCACUUCACAGACACCGCGCGCAAAAUUCCAGGCUCACACAUCAUUAAACGAGCAAAAAAACCGAGGGAUCCCAUCCAUCCAGUCAGUUCUGCAGCGGAGCGGUCGGGAGUUUCGGGCCCAAGUGCCGCAUCCUUUGUCCAGCCCAUUACAAUUACUGACAAAAAGCAUCAAGGUAGCCAUAAAAACAAACCUACUCGAGUGGGGAGGUGCUAGGAGUUCCAAACUGGGGAUUACAUAUGUAUAUAGUACCUUGCAUAUCAUAAUAUAGAAUACUCACCUCAUUUCCGCUAAUUCAUUAUAAGUU